UAGGUUGGUGAUCAUAUAGGAU
RNAcentral lists this microRNA (22 nucleotides) under Arabidopsis lyrata. RNAcentral describes it as "aly-miR823-3p". Its record names the gene aly-miR823-3p. Lineage: Eukaryota; Viridiplantae; Streptophyta; Magnoliopsida; Brassicales; Brassicaceae. The record is from miRBase by way of RNAcentral.